RNAcentral lists this ribosomal RNA (288 nucleotides) under actinobacterium Dagang-1. RNAcentral's name for it is "partial 16S ribosomal RNA". It matches the Rfam family "Bacterial small subunit ribosomal RNA", at positions 223 to 523 of the family's 1533-position model. Lineage: Bacteria; Bacillati; Actinomycetota; Actinomycetes. The record is from RNAcentral.
GGAUGAGCCCGCGGCCUAUCAGCUUGUUGGUGGGGUAAUGGCCUACCAAGGCGACGACGGGUAGCCGGCCUGAGAGGGUGACCGGCCACACUGGGACUGAGACACGGCCCAGACUCCUACGGGAGGCAGCAGUGGGGAAUAUUGCACAAUGGGCGCAAGCCUGAUGCAGCGACGCCGCGUGAGGGAUGACGGCCUUCGGGUUGUAAACCUCUUUCGCCAGGGACGAAGCGUAAGUGACGGUACCUGGAUAAGAAGCACCGGCUAACUACGUGCCAGCAGCCGCGGCCG